GGCCCCAUGGCGAAAUUGGCACACGCGGCAAGUUCAAACCUUGCUUAUUGUUCCCGGUUCAAAUCCGGGUGGGGCUACCA
RNAcentral lists this transfer RNA (80 nucleotides) under Faecalibacterium prausnitzii. RNAcentral's name for it is "tRNA-Leu". It matches the Rfam family "tRNA". From Rfam's summary of the family: Transfer RNA (tRNA) molecules are approximately 80 nucleotides in length. Their secondary structure includes four short double-helical elements and three loops (D, anti-codon, and T loops). RNAcentral also lists the same sequence under 1 other name. The record is from RNAcentral. Lineage: Bacteria; Bacillati; Bacillota; Clostridia; Eubacteriales; Oscillospiraceae.